This is a non-coding RNA of Camelina sativa (false flax), 1292 nucleotides long. NCBI's taxonomy places the organism in Eukaryota, Viridiplantae, Streptophyta, Magnoliopsida, Brassicales, Brassicaceae. The record is from RefSeq and is a predicted model, not a curated record.
UUUAUAAAAUAUCUGGGGAACGACUCUCACUCAGUAUCUGGAGAACACAAAAUUAUAUCAGAGACUCUUCAAUUGAGCGAGAGAGCGAGAGAGCGACGAGAGAGAGAGAGAGAGAGAGCGCGACGAGAGAGAGAGAGAGUUCGAUUCUUCUAGUGGUGGCGACAUGAUGAAGAACAAGUCAAGAAGAAGAGGAGUUGUGUGUUAGGUUUCGUGUUCCCAACCAGGCGGACGAUGAUUUACUCAGAUUUAUCUGUUUGGAGGAUGAAGAUUCAGAACACCAAAAACGGGGUCGGUCCGGCGUGCUCUUACAGUAAAAACAACAUCAAAACUGUUCGAUUCAAAAAAAGGGUAACGAUGAUUGUUAAAAACGUAAAGCUACAGGUUUUGAUGUAUGUCCGAGUCUCAUUCAGCAAAAAUCAUAGCCAUCGCAAGGCCACGAGAGAGAGAGCCAAAACAAGUCAGCGCUUCUCUAGAUGAUGGAGAUAUAUUUAUGGUGGUUCACUUCCUCCUUCCCAUUACUGUUUAGGAUGAUGCUGAUAUUAUGGACCAAAACGAUGGCAAAGAUGUCCUCUUCUUAUUGCUCUCUGUGCUUCUGAAGUGUGAGGGAUUAUGACCUAAACCAUGGAGUACUCCUCUUCUUACUCUCUGUGCUACCGAAGUUGGAACUCGAGAAGGCACCAGAAUUCAAAGCAGCACCCUUUGAACAAAAAGUUACUUGUCAUUGCCUCAUCCCAACAAUUCCCUUCCACAGGUGUGUGUGUCCGUGUUCCAACCAGGAUGAUGAUUUUGUUUUUAACAACAAGUGCUCCUGAACUGUUAGGGAUUAUGACCAUGGAAUACCCCUCUUAUUGCUCUAUAAUUGGAACUCGACAAGGCACCAGAAUUCAAAGCAGCACCAUUUGAACAAAACGGCACUUGUCAUUGCCUCAUGCCAACAAUUCCCUUUCAUAGGUGUGUGUGUUUGUAUUUUUUGGCUGAAACAGGAUGAUGACCAUGGAACACCUCUCUUCUUGCUCUGUGCUAUUGAAGUGGAACUCGACAAGUCCCCAGAAUUCAAAGCACCAUCCUUUGAACAAAAAGGUACUUGUCAUGGCCUCAUGGCCCUCAUCCCAACAAUUCCCUUCCACAGGUGUGUGUUCGUGUGUUCCAGCCAGAUUAUGUGGAGGAAGACGUAGAUUCAGACCAAAAAUGGUCGCUGGUGGUCGUUCUUACAGUGACAACAUCAAACUGAUUUUUAAAGGCGUGUGCGUGUGCAUGUUCUAACUUUCAUUUGAAUUUUCGCCUUUACUCAG